CGAGCGCAACCCUUGCCUUUAGUUGCCAGCAGUUCGGCUGGGCACUCUAAAGGGAACUGCCGGUGUUAAACCGGAGGAAGGUGGGGAUGACGUCAAGUCCUCAUGGUCUUUAUGACCAGGGCUACACACGUACUACAAUGGCCGAUACAAAGGGCAGCGACACUGCGAGGUGAAGCCAAUCCCGUAAAAUCGGUCUCAGUCCGGAUUGGAGUCUGCAACUCGACUCCAUGAAGUUGGAAUCGCUAGUAAUCGUGGAUCAGCAUGCCACGGUGAAUACGUUCCCGGGCCUU
RNAcentral lists this ribosomal RNA (290 nucleotides) under uncultured Desulfobulbus sp. RNAcentral's name for it is "partial 16S ribosomal RNA". It matches the Rfam family "Bacterial small subunit ribosomal RNA", at positions 1093 to 1382 of the family's 1533-position model. Lineage: Bacteria; Pseudomonadati; Thermodesulfobacteriota; Desulfobulbia; Desulfobulbales; Desulfobulbaceae. The record is from RNAcentral.